GGUUAAGCGACUAAGCGUACACGGUGGAUGCCCUGGCAGUCAGAGGCGAUGAAGGACGUGCUAAUCUGCGAUAAGCGUCGGUAAGGUGAUAUGAACCGUUAUAACCGGCGAUUUCCGAAUGGGGAAACCCAGUGUGUUUCGACACACUAUCAUUAACUGAAUCCAUAGGUUAAUGAGGCGAACCGGGGGAACUGAAACAUCUAAGUACCCCGAGGAAAAGAAAUCAACCGAGAUUCCCCCAGUAGCGGCGAGCGAACGGGGAGCAGCCCAGAGCCUGAAUCAGUGUGUGUGUUAGUGGAAGCGUCUGGAAAGGCGCGCGAUACAGGGUGACAGCCCCGUACACAAAAAUGCACAUGCUGUGAGCUCGAUGAGUAGGGCGGGACACGUGGUAUCCUGUCUGAAUAUGGGGGGACCAUCCUCCAAGGCUAAAUACUCCUGACUGACCGAUAGUGAACCAGUACCGUGAGGGAAAGGCGAAAAGAACCCCGGCGAGGGGAGUGAAAAAGAACCUGAAACCGUGUACGUACAAGCAGUGGGAGCACGCUUAGGCGUGUGACUGCGUACCUUUUGUAUAAUGGGUCAGCGACUUAUAUUCUGUAGCAAGGUUAACCGAAUAGGGGAGCCGAAGGGAAACCGAGUCUUAACUGGGCGUUAAGUUGCAGGGUAUAGACCCGAAACCCGGUGAUCUAGCCAUGGGCAGGUUGAAGGUUGGGUAACACUAACUGGAGGACCGAACCGACUAAUGUUGAAAAAUUAGCGGAUGACUUGUGGCUGGGGGUGAAAGGCCAAUCAAACCGGGAGAUAGCUGGUUCUCCCCGAAAGCUAUUUAGGUAGCGCCUCGUGAAUUCAUCUCCGGGGGUAGAGCACUGUUUCGGCAAGGGGGUCAUCCCGACUUACCAACCCGAUGCAAACUGCGAAUACCGGAGAAUGUUAUCACGGGAGACACACGGCGGGUGCUAACGUCCGUCGUGAAGAGGGAAACAACCCAGACCGCCAGCUAAGGUCCCAAAGUCAUGGUUAAGUGGGAAACGAUGUGGGAAGGCCCAGACAGCCAGGAUGUUGGCUUAGAAGCAGCCAUCAUUUAAAGAAAGCGUAAUAGCUCACUGGUCGAGUCGGCCUGCGCGGAAGAUGUAACGGGGCUAAACCAUGCACCGAAGCUGCGGCAGCGACGCUGAUGCGUUGUUGGGUAGGGGAGCGUUCUGUAAGCCUGCGAAGGUGUGCUGUGAGGCAUGCUGGAGGUAUCAGAAGUGCGAAUGCUGACAUAAGUAACGAUAAAGCGGGUGAAAAGCCCGCUCGCCGGAAGACCAAGGGUUCCUGUCCAACGUUAAUCGGGGCAGGGUGAGUCGACCCCUAAGGCGAGGCCGAAAGGCGUAGUCGAUGGGAAACAGGUUAAUAUUCCUGUACUUGGUGUUACUGCGAAGGGGGGACGGAGAAGGCUAUGUUGGCCGGGCGACGGUUGUCCCGGUUUAAGCGUGUAGGCUGGUUUUCCAGGCAAAUCCGGAAAAUCAAGGCUGAGGCGUGAUGACGAGGCACUACGGUGCUGAAGCAACAAAUGCCCUGCUUCCAGGAAAAGCCUCUAAGCAUCAGGUAACAUCAAAUCGUACCCCAAACCGACACAGGUGGUCAGGUAGAGAAUACCAAGGCGCUUGAGAGAACUCGGGUGAAGGAACUAGGCAAAAUGGUGCCGUAACUUCGGGAGAAGGCACGCUGAUAUGUAGGUGAAGUCCCUCGCGGAUGGAGCUGAAAUCAGUCGAAGAUACCAGCUGGCUGCAACUGUUUAUUAAAAACACAGCACUGUGCAAACACGAAAGUGGACGUAUACGGUGUGACGCCUGCCCGGUGCCGGAAGGUUAAUUGAUGGGGUUAGCGCAAGCGAAGCUCUUGAUCGAAGCCCCGGUAAACGGCGGCCGUAACUAUAACGGUCCUAAGGUAGCGAAAUUCCUUGUCGGGUAAGUUCCGACCUGCACGAAUGGCGUAAUGAUGGCCAGGCUGUCUCCACCCGAGACUCAGUGAAAUUGAACUCGCUGUGAAGAUGCAGUGUACCCGCGGCAAGACGGAAAGACCCCGUGAACCUUUACUAUAGCUUGACACUGAACAUUGAGCCUUGAUGUGUAGGAUAGGUGGGAGGCUUUGAAGUGUGGACGCCAGUCUGCAUGGAGCCGACCUUGAAAUACCACCCUUUAAUGUUUGAUGUUCUAACGUUGACCCGUAAUCCGGGUUGCGGACAGUGUCUGGUGGGUAGUUUGACUGGGGCGGUCUCCUCCUAAAGAGUAACGGAGGAGCACGAAGGUUGGCUAAUCCUGGUCGGACAUCAGGAGGUUAGUGCAAUGGCAUAAGCCAGCUUGACUGCGAGCGUGACGGCGCGAGCAGGUGCGAAAGCAGGUCAUAGUGAUCCGGUGGUUCUGAAUGGAAGGGCCAUCGCUCAACGGAUAAAAGGUACUCCGGGGAUAACAGGCUGAUACCGCCCAAGAGUUCAUAUCGACGGCGGUGUUUGGCACCUCGAUGUCGGCUCAUCACAUCCUGGGGCUGAAGUAGGUCCCAAGGGUAUGGCUGUUCGCCAUUUAAAGUGGUACGCGAGCUGGGUUUAGAACGUCGUGAGACAGUUCGGUCCCUAUCUGCCGUGGGCGCUGGAGAACUGAGGGGGGCUGCUCCUAGUACGAGAGGACCGGAGUGGACGCAUCACUGGUGUUCGGGUUGUCAUGCCAAUGGCACUGCCCGGUAGCUAAAUGCGGAAGAGAUAAGUGCUGAAAGCAUCUAAGCACGAAACUUGCCCCGAGAUGAGUUCUCCCUGACUCCUUGAGAGUCCUGAAGGAACGUUGAAGACGACGACGUUGAUAGGCCGGGUGUGUAAGCGCAGCGAUGCGUUGAGCUAACCGGUACUAAUGAACCGUGAGGCUUAACCUU
This 2904-nucleotide ribosomal RNA is filed under the name Escherichia coli. RNAcentral's name for it is "23S ribosomal RNA". It matches the Rfam family "Bacterial large subunit ribosomal RNA". The record is from RNAcentral. RNAcentral also lists the same sequence under 1 other name. Lineage: Bacteria; Pseudomonadati; Pseudomonadota; Gammaproteobacteria; Enterobacterales; Enterobacteriaceae.